Molecule: transfer RNA, 63 nt
Filed under: Urochela rubra
Lineage: Eukaryota; Metazoa; Arthropoda; Insecta; Hemiptera; Urostylididae
Description: tRNA-Phe
Rfam family: tRNA
About the family: Transfer RNA (tRNA) molecules are approximately 80 nucleotides in length.
Source: RNAcentral
ACUGAAAUAGCUUAAGUUAAAGCAUAACUUUGAAGAGGUUAGGAUAAAUUAAUUUUUUUAGUA